This is a non-coding RNA of Phascolarctos cinereus (koala), 333 nucleotides long. NCBI's taxonomy places the organism in Eukaryota, Metazoa, Chordata, Mammalia, Diprotodontia, Phascolarctidae. The record is from RefSeq and is a predicted model, not a curated record.
AAAAAAAAGACUAUCUCUACACCUAGACCACCCCCAGUCUUGGGCAAAAGAUCUACCUCUACCCAAACUUCCUCGAGUGGAACACUGAAAUGCAAUGCAAAAAAUGGGCAGGAAUUCAUCUUAGACUAGAUUCCUUAUAAGCAGAUCUGGACAUUCUUCCCUGGGAUGGUUGAGCCAAGAAAACUUAGGAACAACGCCUAAGGAGACUUCCACACAUAAAACAAACAGGUGCCAAUGGCUGGCAUAUGAGCUAUGUGAAAGUCUUCAGAGGAUGAACUGAUCCAACCAUUCUGGAGAGCAAUUUGGAAUUAUGCCCAAAGGGUUAUAAAACUG